This 1286-nucleotide ribosomal RNA is filed under the name human gut metagenome. Its description in RNAcentral is "bacterial LSU rRNA". It matches the Rfam family "Bacterial large subunit ribosomal RNA", at positions 1152 to 2488 of the family's 2925-position model. The record is from RNAcentral.
AGUGAAUUUGCGCGGAAAAUUACCGGGGCUAAGCUAUACACCGAAAUUGCGGGUUCAUAAGUAAUUAUGAGCGGUAGAGGAGCAUUCUGUAGUAGGGUGAAGUAUGAUCGAAAGGACAUAUGGACGAGGCAGAAGAGAGAAUGCUGGAAUAAGUAGCGAGAGCAAAGUGAGAAUCUUUGCCGUCGAAAGUCUAAGGUUUCCUGGGGAAGGUUCGUCCGCCCAGGGUAAGUCGGGACCUAAGGUGAGGCCAAGGAGGCGUAGCCGAUGGAUAGCAGGUAUAAAAUUCCUGCACUACCGAAAUACUUAAAAACGAUAAGGGACGCAGGAGAGGAAGGAAAUCCGGGAAGAGGAAAAACCGGAGCCGAAAGGCAUAGUGAAAAUUUAAAGUAACGAAGUUCCAAGAAUCACACUGACGAGAAAAGCUUAUUGACAUUGUAUUAAGGUACCCGUACCGCAAACCGACACAGGUAGAUGAGGAGAGGAUCCUAAGACGAGCGAGAGAAGUACUGUUAAGGAACUCGGCAAACUAACCCCGUAACUUAGGGAGAAGGGGUACCUAUGUAAAAGUAGGUCGCAGAGAAGAGUCCCAAGCAACUGUUUAACAAAAACACAGGUUUCUGCUAAAUCGAAAGAUGAAGUAUAGGAGCUGACGCCUGCCCAGUGCUGGAAGGUUAAGGGAAGAGGUUAGAUUAUAUCAAAGCUUCGAACUGAAGCCCCAGUGAACGGCGGCCGUAACUAUAACGGUCCUAAGGUAGCGAAAUUCCUUGUCAGGUAAGUUCUGACCCGCACGAAAGGCGUAAUGAUUUGGGCACUGUCUCAACAGCCCGCCCGGCGAAAUUGUAGUACCGGUGAAGAUGCCGGUUACCCGCGACAAGACGGAAAGACCCCAUGGAGCUUUACUGUAGCUUGAUAUUGGGUUUCGGUAAUUUAUGUACAGGAUAGGUGGGAGACUAUGAAGCAAGAGCGUCAGCUUUUGUGGAGUCACCCUUGGGAUACCACCCUUAAAUUAUUGGAAUUCUAACCUGUGAUCAUGAACUGGUCAGGGGACAAUGUCAGGCGGGCAGUUUGACUGGGGCGGUCGCCUCCUAAAGAGUAACGGAGGCGCCCAAAGGUUUCCUCAACCCGGACAGAAAUCGGGUGAAAGAGUGCAAAGGCAGAAGGAAGCUUAACUGAAAGACAGACAUGUCGAGCAGAUACGAAAGUAGGGCUUAGUGAUCCGGUGGUAUGUGAGUGGAAAUGCCAUCGCUCAACGGACAAAAGUUACCCUGGGGAUAACAGGCUUAUCU